Molecule: ribosomal RNA, 504 nt
Filed under: uncultured bacterium
Lineage: Bacteria
Description: partial 16S ribosomal RNA
Rfam family: Bacterial small subunit ribosomal RNA
Source: RNAcentral
AUUGAACGCUGGCGGCAGGCCUAACACAUGCAAGUCGAACGGUAGCACAGAGAGCUUGCUCUCGGGUGACGAGUGGCGGACGGGUGAGUAACGUCUGGGAAACUGCCCGAUGGAGGGGGAUAACUACUGGAAACGGUAGCUAAUACCGCAUAACGUCGCAAGACCAAAGUGGGGGACCUUCGGGCCUCACACCAUCGGAUGUGCCCAGAUGGGAUUAGCUAGUAGGUGGGGUAAUGGCUCACCUAGGCGACGAUCUCUAGCUGGUCUGAGAGGAUGACCAGCCACACUGGAACUGAGACACGGUCCAGACUCCUACGGGAGGCAGCAGUGGGGAAUAUUGCACAAUGGCCGCAAGCCUGAUGCAGCCAUGCCGCGUGUAUGAAGAAGGCCUUCGGGUUGUAAAGUACUUUCAGCGGGGAGGAAGGCGGUGAAGUUAAUAACUUCACCGAUUGACGUUACCCGCAGAAUAAGCACCGGCUAACUACGUGCCAGCAGCCGCCGCCG